ACUCAAAUGAAUAGACGGGGACCCGCACAAGCGGUGGAUGAUGUGGUUUAAUUCGAUGCAACGCGCAAAACCUUACCUACCCUUGACAUGGCAGGGACCCUGGUGAGAGCUGGGGGUGCCCGAAAGGGAGCCUGUACACAGGUGCUGCAUGGCUGUCGUCAGCUCGUGUCGUGAGAUGUUGGGUUAAGUCCCGCAACGAGCGCAACCCUUGCCACUAGUUGCCCCAUGUAAGGUGGGCACUCUAGUGGGACUGCCGGUGACAAACCGGAGGAAGGUGGGGAUGACGUCAAGUCCUCAUGGCCCUUAUGGGUAGGGCGACACACGUCAUACAAUGGCGCAUACAAAGGGUAGCCAACCCGCGAGGGGGAGCCAAUCCCAGAAAGUGCGUCGUAGUCCGGAUUGUUCUCUGCAACUCGAGAGCAUGAAGUCGGAAUCGCUAGUAAUCGCGGAUCAGCAUGUCGCGGUGAAUACGUUCCCGGGUCUUGUACACACCGCCCGU
This 499-nucleotide ribosomal RNA is filed under the name uncultured bacterium. RNAcentral describes it as "partial 16S ribosomal RNA". It matches the Rfam family "Bacterial small subunit ribosomal RNA", at positions 899 to 1397 of the family's 1533-position model. The record is from RNAcentral.